GACGAACGCUGGCGGCGUGCUUAACACAUGCAAGUCGAACGGUGAAGGGACCGGUUUUUGCUGGUUCUGGAUGAGUGGCGAACGGGUGAGUAACACGUGAGUAACCUGCCCCCUUCUUCUGGAUAACCGCAUGAAAGUGUGGCUAAUACGGGAUAUUCUGCGCCUGCUGCAUGGUGGGUGUGGGAAAGAUAUUGUUUCGGUGGGGGAUGAGCUCGCGGCCUAUCAGCUUGUUGGUGGGGUGAUGGCCUACCAAGGCGGUGACGGGUAGCCGGCCUGAGAGGGUGGACGGUCACACUGGGACUGAGACACGGCCCAGACUCCUACGGGAGGCAGCAGUGGGGAAUAUUGCACAAUGGGCGCAAGCCUGAUGCAGCGACGCCGCGUGAGGGAUGGAGGCCUUCGGGUUGUAAACCUCUUUCGCCAGUGAAGCAGGCCUGUCCCUUUUGUGGGUGGGUUGACGGUAGCUGGAUAAGAAGCGCCGGCUAACUACGUG
This 493-nucleotide ribosomal RNA is filed under the name uncultured bacterium. RNAcentral's name for it is "partial 16S ribosomal RNA". It matches the Rfam family "Bacterial small subunit ribosomal RNA", at positions 28 to 507 of the family's 1533-position model. The record is from RNAcentral.